This 2075-nucleotide long non-coding RNA is filed under the name Pongo abelii (Sumatran orangutan). RNAcentral describes it as "lincRNA". Lineage: Eukaryota; Metazoa; Chordata; Mammalia; Primates; Hominidae. The record is from RNAcentral.
GCGGAAUUCUCCACGAGUUUUGAGCAGCGUCGGUUUUCCCACCACCUCCAAAUCAUGCAAGUGCAGGCAGAGCCCCCGGAGCCAUGGCCAGCCCUUCCGGCAGCUCCGAAGCCACUGGCAAGCCCCGAGGCAGGGAUGGCCGGCCCAGGAGGGAGGAGGACGACGUCCCUCCCGAGGAGAAGAGGCUGCGCCUGGGGCUGGAGGGGGGAAGCGCACAGCCCGAGGACUGCGAGGACGGGGAGGACGCGCCGCGGCCGGGCAGGGAGGAGACCGGCACCCAGACAGGUGGCGACGGCAGAGGAUUUCUAUGGGAAUACUCUCUUUGAAGAACCCAUGAAGCUGUGUCAGGCUGGUGUGAGGAUCAGCAGUGAUUUCUUUGAGGAGGAGAGCCCGUUUCUUCACUCACAGGCCAUGUCUGAGUGGAUCAAGAAGAACAGAGUGCCCUUUUAUGAGAUUUUGUCUGCGUAGACCAUUAGCUUGGUAAAAAUGUCAAAACCAUCCUCGUUCUUUAAUAGCAGAUUAUUUUGGACUUUUCUCUGCAAGAAGCAGCAUGGGCGUUCAGAUGCUUUUAAGGAUAAAAUGUUCUUUCUCAUCACCAGGCCUGGUGCUCUGGAUCCUGAGGUUUUAAUGUGACUGGAUGUCCCUUGGAGUGGCUCCCAGGCUGUGCUCUUGUGGUUGGGUGGCAAGGGGUUGCUUUAUUCGGUGGUGGCUAGAGGAUGUUUUAGCAGGGAAAUCGGGCCCCCAGGAGCCCCUGGGUGCCAAGUCCUGGUUCAGGGCAUGUGUUUAUGGUGGGAGAUGGGGGGUGGAGGGUGGGGGGGCGUUGAUUUCCUGCCAAUAUCAGAAGUUUCACAGGCUUCUUGUGUAUCCACAAACACCCACCCCAUUGAGAAGGCCUAGAAAACCUGGCCUUCCCCAAGCCUUUAUUGACCCCUUGUGAAUGAUCCCAGGGUGUGUCUGACCCCCAGCUCCUCCUGGAGGGAGAGAAAAGUCUCUCCUAGGUAUUUGGUUAUUAACCUCAACCAUUUGCUGAGCCUUCCCCAAGACCAGGCACCUCGGCAGAGAUUUCUGGGUUGUCAGUCGGAACCGAGCAUUCAAGGGUAAUAACUCAUUGGAGUCCCUGAAAUCCCUGAUGGAUGCACCAGGUAAAAGCAUCCAGGGUUGAAACCAGAUGAGGAAGGUUAUUGUCAGCCUGGGCCUCCUGUAGAGGUGCAUCCACGUUGCAGGUAUUUUCCCUUCUUGCUGAGGAGAAACCUGGAUUUCUCAGCUUUGGCACAGUGACAACACUUGGGGUGAGACCAUUAGUGGUGGUGGUGGCGGGGCCGUCCUGGGUAUUGUAGGAGGGUUAGCAGCAUCUCUGCUCUCCAUCCUCUAGGUGCCUUCUACCCUCCCAGCUAUGGCUACCCCAGAUGUCUCCAGGCGGUUUCAAAUGCCAUGGAGCAAGGGAGUGCUGGACUACACAGGCUGAAGCUCUCUCUGCCGAGAUAUAGAUAUUUCCCUGGCAACGAUCUUUCAAGCUGACAUGAAGACAUGGCCACCCGCUGGAACGUGGUGUGUCUGCCAUGGCGCUCUUGUAAUUCCUGAGGCAGGCUCCUGAGGAAUGCAGUGCAACUCAAGGGACAGGAAGGAGAUGAGUUGGAGGCUGGGACAGGGGUCCCUGCCAGGGAUGCUGGUGACUCACAUGACGGUGUUGAUGUGUGGAGUCCGGUGCCUGGUUUGGGGAAUGUUCGCGGGAUAUGUGCCAAAGGACUGACGGACCUAUCAGGUGCAGCGGCUCACAUUUGUAAUCCCAGCACUUUGGGAGGCCGAGGCUGCUGGAUCACCUAAGGUCAGGAGUUCGAGACCAGCCUGGCCAACACGGCGAAACUGUCUCUACUAAAAAUACAGAAAUUAGCCAGGUGUGAUGGCACACACCUGUAAUCCCAGCUACUUGGGAGGCUGAGGCAGGAGAAUCAUUUGAACUUGGGAGACAGAGGUUGCAGUCAGCCGAGAUCGCACCACUGCACUUCAGCCAGCCUGGGUGACAGGGCGAGACUCUCUUUCAAAAAUAAAUAAAUAAAAUAGAAUUCUGAAUUUUG